CCGUGUCGUGAGAUGUUGGGUUAAGUCCCGCAACGAGCGCAACCCUUAUCAUUAGUUGCUACGCAAGGGCACUCUAAUGAGACUGCCGGUGACAAACCGGAGGAAGGUGGGGAUGACGUCAAGUCCUCAUGGCCCUUAUGGGUAGGGCUUCACACGUCAUACAAUGGUCGGUACAGAGGGUUGCCAAGCCGCGAGGCGGGGCCAAUCCCACAAAGCCGAUCGUAGUCCGGAUUGUUCUCUGCAACUCGAGAGCAUGAAGUCGGAAUCGCUAGUAAUCGCAGGUCAGCAUACUGCGGUGAAUACGUUCCCGGGUCUU
Molecule: ribosomal RNA, 316 nt
Filed under: uncultured Thiobacillus sp.
Lineage: Bacteria; Pseudomonadati; Pseudomonadota; Betaproteobacteria; Nitrosomonadales; Thiobacillaceae
Description: bacterial SSU rRNA
Rfam family: Bacterial small subunit ribosomal RNA
Source: RNAcentral